RNAcentral lists this ribosomal RNA (253 nucleotides) under uncultured bacterium. Its description in RNAcentral is "partial 16S ribosomal RNA". It matches the Rfam family "Bacterial small subunit ribosomal RNA", at positions 524 to 776 of the family's 1533-position model. The record is from RNAcentral.
UACGUAGGGGGCUAGCGUUGUCCGGAAUCAUUGGGCGUAAAGCGCGUGUAGGCGGUCCGGUAAGUCCGCUGUGAAAGUCGGGGGCUCAACCCUCGGAUGCCGGUGGAUACUGUCGGGCUUGAGUACGGAAGAGGCGAGUGGAAUUCCUGGUGUAGCGGUGAAAUGCGCAGAUAUCAGGAGGAGCACCAAUUGCGAAGGCAGCUCGCUGGGACGUUACUGACGCUGAGACGCGAAAGCGUGGGGAGCAAACAGG